AACGGCGGAAGGAUCCGGGAGGCGCCCUGGCGGCCCCAAUGAGAAAGGCCGGUUUUCCUCCUGGGCUGCAAUGACGUCAUGGUGUUAACCUGCAUUUGGGGCGGGUCCUUAAGGGGGAUGGGGGUGUCUUGCAGACAGCUUCAGGGUCUCCCCAGUGCUCAGCCAUGUGCCCGACCCUCAGGCCAGACCAGCAUUCCUGGCGCUUACAGAGUGAACCCGAAAACAAACAGCAUGGGGCUGGCCGUCUGAUUCAGACUUGGGAUGCUUGGACUUGUAAUUUCCAAACCAGAUAUGAUAUACCAAUAGGAACAAGGAAUAAAACUUGGGAUGCCAAAGGGAGAUGUCUGAUGAAGCACCUGUCCAUGUAAAUAAGUGAAAACCAAAUGGGGGAAAAGGUACAGCAUAGAACAUCAUGAGU
RNAcentral lists this long non-coding RNA (418 nucleotides) under Sarcophilus harrisii (Tasmanian devil). Its description in RNAcentral is "lncRNA (ENSSHAG00000021191.1)". Lineage: Eukaryota; Metazoa; Chordata; Mammalia; Dasyuromorphia; Dasyuridae. The record is from RNAcentral.